This 66-nucleotide transfer RNA is filed under the name Dipodomys ordii (Ord's kangaroo rat). It matches the Rfam family "tRNA". Rfam says of the family: Transfer RNA (tRNA) molecules are approximately 80 nucleotides in length. Lineage: Eukaryota; Metazoa; Chordata; Mammalia; Rodentia; Heteromyidae. The record is from Rfam by way of RNAcentral.
GGUGACUCAGUGGUAAGAGUGCUUGCCUUGCAUGCAUGAGGCCCUGGGUUUGAUUCCGCAGCACCA